UGUGAAAAAGAAAAUUUAGCUCAGUGUAGAAGUAAACAAAUCGAAAAAGAGCGAAACUUAUAUUUUGUUGCUUUAUUCUGUGGAAAUCGAAUGAAAGUGAGAAAAUUUGCAUACGGUAUAAGGUUUAACCGACGGCUUAACAGUAAAUUCAUCGAUCUAUUAAACAUUGAUCAGAAUAUGUACGAUAAUUUCUUAAUAUGAAUUGAAACCAAAUUCAAAAUGUUCAUUGGUGUAUUGCUCUAUUUGCUGACAAUAUGCCCCCAACGCUAGAUAAUAAAAUGGAAACAAGUUCAUAUGAAGCACUGAAAAUGUUUACCGAUGCACAUCAUCGCAGAACAUACCCCAAGAUAGUAUCACACUCUCAACAGUAUCAUCGGAACGUGAACAGAAUCCCGAGUGCCAAGCAACGAUCGAAAGAAGCGCUGAAUCAAUUAACUACAAUCAACAAAUAAAAAACAGAUGAUCGAUAAUCCAGAUAGCAAGUAUGAGACUGCGCUCAAGACAUACACGACAAAAGCUUUGAGGAAUUUCAGUUUAAAUGAAAGCAAAACAUGGUAUACUGCAACCGGCUGAGUGUGUUGAUUCAGAUAAAAUUCCUUAUGCUCUGCUGGAACAAAUCGGUAGUUUUGAAAAUUUUGGAUUUGAGUUAGUGAGGAACAGACUCAGGUGGCUACAGUUAAAGACGAAAACGGUGUUAUCGAUCCAAGUGAUCCGCCACAGAAAUUUUGAAUAAGGAUUUCAGGCUAACUGAUGACGAUGUGCAGCUUCAUUAGGACGCAGAAGAUAUUUAUGCGUACUGAAUUAUUGUUAAUGAAUGCUAAUUAAUACAGACCAACCUGGAAUUCUUCAGGGCCAAGCUCUCCAACUCUCAAACGAUCAGAUUGAAUGAAUUUCAAGCAAAGAAAACAGUUACGUAACGAGAAAAAAAAUUUAUCUUCUGUUGAAGGUCGCACUCUUAUUUCUGCUCUCGUAUAGCGGACUAUAAUUUGAUUUAUGGUGAUAAAUUAAUCUACGAAAUAAUCUCUCGAUUAUUACGAAAUAAAAACUUACCCUGGUAUGAAA
This is a long non-coding RNA of Malaya genurostris, 1062 nucleotides long. RefSeq lists it as uncharacterized. The transcript has 2 exons. The record is from RefSeq and is a predicted model, not a curated record. NCBI's taxonomy places the organism in Eukaryota, Metazoa, Arthropoda, Insecta, Diptera, Culicidae.